This 474-nucleotide ribosomal RNA is filed under the name Rhodomonas sp. RCC5234. RNAcentral's name for it is "SSU rRNA". It matches the Rfam family "Eukaryotic small subunit ribosomal RNA", at positions 636 to 1126 of the family's 1831-position model. The record is from RNAcentral. Lineage: Eukaryota; Cryptophyceae; Pyrenomonadales; Pyrenomonadaceae.
UCGGGCUCGGGGAGAUUGUCGGCCUUUGGUCGGAUAGUUUCUCCGGGCCUUUCUGCCUGGGAACCCUAUUCUACUUAACUGUAGGGUAGUGGGACGCAGGCCGUUUACUUUGAAAAAAUUAGAGUGUUCAAAGCAGGCCUACGCUUGAAUACAUUAGCAUGGAAUAAUGGAAUAGGACUUUGGUCUUAUUUGUUGGUUUAUGGGACCGAAGUAAUGAUUAACAGGGACAGUUGGGGCCGUUUAUAUUUCGUUGUCAGAGGUGAAAUUCUUGGAUUUACGAAAGAUAAACUUCUGCGAAAGCAUUCGGCAAGGAUGUUUUCAUUGAUCAAGAACGAAAGUUAGGGGAUCGAAGACGAUCAGAUACCGUCGUAGUCUUAACCAUAAACUAUGCCGACUAGGGAUCAGUGGAUGUCAAUUUGCGACUCCAUUGGCACCUUGUGAGAAAUCAAAGUUUUUGGGUUCCGGGGGGAGUAU